GACGAACGCUGGCGGCGUGCCUAAUACAUGCAAGUAGAACGCUGAAGGAGGAGCUUGCUUCUCUGGAUGAGUUGCGAACGGGUGAGUAACGCGUAGGUAACCUGCCUGGUAGCGGGGGAUAACUAUGGGAAACGAUAGCUAAUACCGCAUAAUAGCAGUUGUUGAAUGACAACUGUUUGAAAGGUGCAAUUGCACCACUACCAGAUGGACCUGCGUUGUAUUAGCUAGUUGGUGGGGUAACGGCUCACCAAGGCGACGAUACAUAGCCGACCUGAGAGGGGGAUCGGCCUCCCUGGGACUGCGACACGGCCCCGAAUACUACGGGAGGCAGCAGUAGGGAAUCUUCGGCAAUGGACGGAAGUCUGACCGAGCAACGCCGCGUGAGUACAGAAGGUUGUCGGUUCGUCAAGCUCUGUUGUAAGCGAAGAACGAGUGUGAGAGUGGAAAGUUCACACUGUGACGGUAUCUUACCAGAAAGGGACGGCUACCUACGUG
This 495-nucleotide ribosomal RNA is filed under the name uncultured bacterium. RNAcentral's name for it is "partial 16S ribosomal RNA". It matches the Rfam family "Bacterial small subunit ribosomal RNA", at positions 28 to 507 of the family's 1533-position model. The record is from RNAcentral.